This 434-nucleotide unclassified non-coding RNA is filed under the name soil metagenome. Its description in RNAcentral is "partial contains 5.8S ribosomal RNA, internal transcribed spacer 2, and large subunit ribosomal RNA". The stretch from base 1 to 120 matches the Rfam family "5.8S ribosomal RNA", at positions 35 to 154 of the family's 154-position model. The record is from RNAcentral.
GAUGAAGAACGCAGCGAAAUGCGAUACGUAAUGUGAAUUGCAGAAUUCAGUGAAUCAUCGAAUCUUUGAACGCAUAUUGCGCUCUUUGGUAUUCCGAAGAGCAUGCUUGUUUGAGUAUCAGUAAACACCUCAAAGCUUUUGGAUUUUUUAAUCGAAAAGCUUUGGACUUGAGCAAUCCCAACACCAAUCUUUUUGAGAUCGGUGGCGGGUUGCUUGAAAUGCAGGUGCAGCUGGACAUUCUCCUGAGCUAAAAGCAUAUUCAUUUAGUCCCGUCAAACGGAUUAUUACUUUUGCUGCAGCUAACAUAAAGGGAGUUUGACUGUAUUGGCUGACUGAUGCAGGAUUUCACAAGGGUCGGCAACGAUUCUUGUUAAACUCGAUCUCAAAUCAAGUAAGACUACCCGCUGAACUUAAGCAUAUCAAUAAGCGGAGGA